RNAcentral lists this ribosomal RNA (1055 nucleotides) under Salmonella enterica. Its description in RNAcentral is "bacterial SSU rRNA". It matches the Rfam family "Bacterial small subunit ribosomal RNA", at positions 1 to 1045 of the family's 1533-position model. Lineage: Bacteria; Pseudomonadati; Pseudomonadota; Gammaproteobacteria; Enterobacterales; Enterobacteriaceae. The record is from RNAcentral.
AAAUUGAAGAGUUUGAUCAUGGCUCAGAUUGAACGCUGGCGGCAGGCCUAACACAUGCAAGUCGAACGGUAACAGGAAGCAGCUUGCUGCUUUGCUGACGAGUGGCGGACGGGUGAGUAAUGUCUGGGAAACUGCCUGAUGGAGGGGGAUAACUACUGGAAACGGUGGCUAAUACCGCAUAACGUCGCAAGACCAAAGAGGGGGACCUUCGGGCCUCUUACCAUCAGAUGUGCCCAGAUGGGAUUAGCUUGUUGGUGAGGUAACGGCUCACCAAGGCGACGAUCCCUAGCUGGUCUGAGAGGAUGACCAGCCACACUGGAACUGAGACACGGUCCAGACUCCUACGGGAGGCAGCAGUGGGGAAUAUUGCACAAUGGGCGCAAGCCUGAUGCAGCCAUGCCGCGUGUAUGAAGAAGGCCUUCGGGUUGUAAAGUACUUUCAGCGGGGAGGAAGGUGUUGCGGUUAAUAACCGCAGCAAUUGACGUUACCCGCAGAAGAAGCACCGGCUAACUCCGUGCCAGCAGCCGCGGUAAUACGGAGGGUGCAAGCGUUAAUCGGAAUUACUGGGCGUAAAGCGCACGCAGGCGGUCUGUCAAGUCGGAUGUGAAAUCCCCGGGCUCAACCUGGGAACUGCAUUCGAAACUGGCAGGCUUGAGUCUUGUAGAGGGGGGUAGAAUUCCAGGUGUAGCGGUGAAAUGCGUAGAGAUCUGGAGGAAUACCGGUGGCGAAGGCGGCCCCCUGGACAAAGACUGACGCUCAGGUGCGAAAGCGUGGGGAGCAAACAGGAUUAGAUACCCUGGUAGUCCACGCCGUAAACGAUGUCUACUUGGAGGUUGUGCCCUUGAGGCGUGGCUUCCGGAGCUAACGCGUUAAGUAGACCGCCUGGGGAGUACGGCCGCAAGGUUAAAACUCAAAUGAAUUGACGGGGGCCCGCACAAGCGGUGGAGCAUGUGGUUUAAUUCGAUGCAACGCGAAGAACCUUACCUGGUCUUGACAUCCACAGAAGAAUCCAGAGAUGGAUUUGUGCCUUCGGGAACUGUGAGACAGGUGCUGCA